Molecule: ribosomal RNA, 255 nt
Filed under: uncultured bacterium
Lineage: Bacteria
Description: partial 16S ribosomal RNA
Rfam family: Bacterial small subunit ribosomal RNA
Source: RNAcentral
UACGGGGGUGCGAGCGUUGUCCGGAAUCACUGGGCGUAAAGGGCGCGUAGGUGGCCCCUCAAGCGUGCGGUGAAAGUCAGGGGCUCAACCCCUGAUCGGCCGUGCGAACUGGGGAGCUUGAGCACUGUAGAGGCAGGCGGAAUUCCGGGUGUAGCGGUGGAAUGCGUAGAGAUCCGGAAGAACACCGGUGGCGAAGGCGGCCUGCUGGGCAGUUUUGCUGACACUGAGGCGCGACAGCGUGGGGAGCAAACAGGG